GGAGAAACAGAGGCAGAAGGAGGGGGGCCCAGGGGCUCAUAAAGCUGAGGGUCAGAAGGCGUUGUUGUGGCCCUGUCUGAACAUCAGCCUCAAAUAGAUGCAGUGCCUCUGAGAACUGUGAAGAUCCUACCAUGCUGUGUCCUCGGGGAAGAUGCACAGCAUCUCUACAGCUGACGGAAUCCAGAAGAUCCUUGCAGCCAUGAAUGGAUCCACUAGAUCAGUGAAUGGAUCCACUAGAGGGAGAAUCCAUUGGAUGGAUCCACUGGUGCUGCCGGAGUCUUCCCUAGGCCGUGCAGUGUGGUGAGAAGAGCUCUGGUCUUGGGCGUCAGAAGGUCUGGGCUUGAGUCCUGGCUCUGCUCACCCUGUGCCAUCACCUUCCCCUCUGGGCCUCAGUUUCCCGGUCUGUGGCAUGGGGCAGUGGUGCUGCACACCAGGCUGUUGCUGCCUCAGGGUAUCAGACACCACAAGUGGGGUAUGGGUGGCACGUAGUAGGUGCCUGACUCCUGCCUAGAAAUCUCGGGGGAACAGCUGUGCGUGUUCUCGGGGGUGCAGCGAGGGUGUUCUGCAGACGGUCGCCAGGCUGAGGGCCAGGCAAGGUGGCAGUUGGAGGACUAAUGACAGCGCCAACGAGUCGCAGCCUGCUCGGCACUUUCAUGUAGAGGGAGCCCCAGGCUUCUCCAGCCACUGCCCUCAGCCAGGCCCUGACCCAGCUGCGCCCUAAUCACACGCCUCCGUCAGAAGCCACCUUUCAUCCAGCAUCAGGUGGAGCUUAAUAACCAUCCUCUGCGGCCUUCACCCACCCGGCCUGCGGUUGAUCAGCCACAUUAUUAACCUUGAUAUUCUCUGCCCUGGAGGCAGGAUCAUGGUACCACAAGAGCUAAGGGACCAGUGUGGAUCCGAAGCCACUUAGCAAAGGCCUCCUGACUGCACAGCAUGCUGGGGAAAGGGCACAGCCUGGCUUUCCCCUGGAGGUGUGAACAGGGGCAGCUUCACAUUAUUCCUUCUCUGGGCCUCAGUUUGCCCAAUCUGUACAGUGGGGGACCUGGGUUAUCAUCGGUUUUCUACAGUGCGCCGUUUAUUCUCAUGAGUGUUUAUUCUCAGGGAGUUGUUCAUCUACUACGGUAGGAAAGAGUGCAUCCUCCAUCCUCUGUGUCCCCACGGAUAACUGGCCAAAGUCACCUGUGUAUUAAAGGCUCUGGAGAAGUCCUUCACCACGAUCUUGUGUGCAGCUGUGUUUAAGCCGCUCUAUGUCCGAAGUGGGACAGAUGUGUGAAGUCCUCGGGACUCUGAUUUUGAGAUGCUCAGAAUUUGUCCAAGCCUCCUCUCCGCAUGACCAGGCUGAGGUUUCACACGAGCCUCCUUACGGGCCAGAAAUCCUCCAAAACCUUCCCGGGGAUGUUUCUGCACUGAGGCCCGCCCGGGACGGUGGGUGAUCAGUUCCCACAGGAAGUCUGCUCCCGAAGGGCUCCGCCCCGAACAUAAUCUCAGAUUCUUCCACAUCUGAUAACCGCUUCCCUUUCACAAACCACGAAGGCCGCGGGCUCUUAUAUGAAAAAUGAUGGCAGGUGGAUACAUUUGGAAUUAGAAACAAUUCAAUAGCCUUUAAAAAAUGCUUUGCCUGCAGGGCUUUUCGGAGACUUUAAUAUGCUAAUGUUUAAUAGGUCUCUAAGAGAGGACUGAUGAGAUUUCGAUACUGAUCGCAGAACAUUUUUCUUGCCGAGACACUAGUUUAAUUGAUGUUAAUUUUUGGAAACUCCGCCUUCCCAGGUUGAUUUGAUCUCUAAGGCCUUCAUUUCUUGUCUUUAUCUCUCUCGGGCACCAAUAAGAAAGAUAGCUGAGGGAAGAGACCAGCCUUGGAAUAUUGCUGUCUGUGCUUCAAAGGGCUAUUUAUUCCCAAAACCACUUAA
Chinchilla lanigera (long-tailed chinchilla) is the source of this 1907-nucleotide long non-coding RNA. RefSeq lists it as uncharacterized. The transcript is spliced from 4 exons. The record is from RefSeq and is a predicted model, not a curated record. NCBI's taxonomy places the organism in Eukaryota, Metazoa, Chordata, Mammalia, Rodentia, Chinchillidae.